UUCACUUUGUCCUGUUGUUACCCUGGUUC
This 29-nucleotide non-coding RNA is filed under the name Homo sapiens (human). Lineage: Eukaryota; Metazoa; Chordata; Mammalia; Primates; Hominidae. The record is from RNAcentral.